UUCAUCAUGUGAUGAAAUCAGAAAAUUAAUCUUAGGACACCUUCCUACACGGCUCUGGAAUCUGGAGUUGUGGAUGAGAAAGAAAUUUCUAUUCUGAUGAUGAA
Molecule: small nucleolar RNA, 104 nt
Organism: Telopea speciosissima
Lineage: Eukaryota; Viridiplantae; Streptophyta; Magnoliopsida; Proteales; Proteaceae
Product: small nucleolar RNA snoR31/Z110/Z27
Exons: 1
Source: RefSeq, a predicted model, not a curated record